This 492-nucleotide ribosomal RNA is filed under the name uncultured bacterium. RNAcentral's name for it is "bacterial SSU rRNA". It matches the Rfam family "Bacterial small subunit ribosomal RNA", at positions 501 to 992 of the family's 1533-position model. The record is from RNAcentral.
CUACGUGCCAGCAGCCGCGGUAAUWCGGAGGGUGCAAGCGUUAAUCGGAAUUACUGGGCGUAAAGCGCACGCAGGCGGUUUGUUAAGUCAGAUGUGAAAUCCCCGCGCUUAACGUGGGAACUGCAUUUGAAACUGGCAAGCUAGAGUCUUGUAGAGGGGGGUAGAAUUCCAGGUGUAGCGGUGAAAUGCGUAGAGAUCUGGAGGAAUACCGGUGGCGAAGGCGGCCCCCUGGACAAAGACUGACGCUCAGGUGCGAAAGCGUGGGGAGCAAACAGGAUUAGAUACCCUGGUAGUCCACGCUGUAAACGAUGUCGACUUGGAGGUUGUGCCCUUGAGGCGUGGCUUCCGGAGCUAACGCGUUAAGUCGACCGCCUGGGGAGUACGGCCGCAAGGUUGAAACUCAAAUGAAUUGACGGGGGCCCGCACAAGCGGUGGAGCAUGUGGUUUAAUUCGAUGCAACGCGAAGAACCUUACCUACUCUUGACAUCCAGA